UACGGAGGGUGCGAGCGUUGUCCGGAAUCACUGGGCGUAAAGGGCGCGUAGGUGGCGACCCAAGUCAACGGUGAAAGCUCGACGCUCAACGUCGAGUCGGCCGUCGAUACUGGGUUGCUCGAGCACUGUAGAGGCUCAUGGAAUUCCGGGUGUAGCGGUGGAAUGCGUAGAGAUCCGGAAGAACACCGGUGGCGAAGGCGGUGAGCUGGGCAGUUGCUGACACUGAGGCGCGACAGCGUGGGGAGCAAAC
RNAcentral lists this ribosomal RNA (250 nucleotides) under uncultured bacterium. RNAcentral describes it as "partial 16S ribosomal RNA". It matches the Rfam family "Bacterial small subunit ribosomal RNA", at positions 524 to 773 of the family's 1533-position model. The record is from RNAcentral.